This is a long non-coding RNA of Vicia villosa (hairy vetch), 474 nucleotides long. RefSeq lists it as uncharacterized. Lineage: Eukaryota; Viridiplantae; Streptophyta; Magnoliopsida; Fabales; Fabaceae. The record is from RefSeq and is a predicted model, not a curated record. The transcript has 3 exons.
UUGUAGAUGUCUCCAUUCAAGUCUUUACGAUUCUACUCGUUCUUGGGAGCUGCUGUUAAUGCAGAAACUAGAGGAAGUUGGAAGCUCUGUCAAGAUGUUGUACCGAAUGAUGCAUGGGCUGACCCGUGUCAUACCCUGUUGUUAAAGAGAAUGUGAAUGACUUGUCGAACCCUGUUGUUGCUGCCAAAGAGCGGGUGAAACGCUGGAAUCAAAUCACCGCUGAACUCCUGAGUGAGGAGAAUAGAGGUGGCAUCAGGUUCAUCGAUCUACUUAUAGUGGGAGCUUGUUCUUUUGAUGUUUAUUGCUCCGAGCAUGUCUGGAACAGGUCUUCUGCAUCCUUCUUCUUUUCGUAGGAGAAAGAUCUUUAUGUGAACGUCGGUCGUUUAAUCAAGUAUUUGGUUGUGUGGAGAUCAGAUAAGCAUUGAUUGUUUGAAUAUUCUUUGAAAUGAAGAUAAAUAAGUAUCUUAGAAUUGA